AUGAAGGCUGCUUGGUCUAAAGUGGAGGAGUCUUACCCUCAAAUCACAUCCAUUGGCUAUGCUGCUCAUGCAUUGAAUCUGAUCCUCAAGGACAUCAUGGCACUGAAAACAAUGGAUACACUCUACAAGAUAGCCAAGGAAAUGGUUAGGUAUGUGAAGUGUCAUCAAGUUAUAUCAGCAAUCUACCGCACCAAGCAAAGUGAGAAGAAUAAGAGCACCACAUUGAAGCUGCCCAGCAACACCAGUGGGGGUUUUGUUGUCAUCAUGUUUGACAGUCUCCUGGAGGAGAAGGAGUCUCUCCAAGAAAUGGCCAUAUCACAGUCUGCCGAUAUGGACAGCCCCAUCAAGAGGAUCCUCCUGGAUGAUGUAUUUUGGGAGAGAGUGGUAAGCAGCCUAAAACUCCUGAACCCUAUAGCAGUAGCCAUUACACGGAUUGAGGGAGACAAUGCCAUCCUGUCUUAUGUUCAGACUCUGCUUGCAUAUGUAAGAGAAGAAAUCCGUACUGUCCUGCCCACUUCACUGUUGCUCCAAGCAGAGGAAACUGCAGUUCUGAAAUACAUCAAAAAGCGUGAAGACUUCUGCCUGAAGCCCAUACACGCCACAGCGUACAUGUUGUUGGACCCUAAGUAUGCUGGCAAGAACAUCCUGUUUGGUGCAAAGAUCAACAUGGCAUGUGGUGUCACUACUAUCGUGUCUCGCCACCUUGGCCUGGAUGAGGGCAAGGUUUUUGGCAGUCUGGCGAAGUACACUUUCAAGCAAGUAUGGCAGUUGUGCCAACAUAUCUCAUCAGCCACCUGGUGGAAGGGACUUUUUGGAUUUGAGGCUCUUUCCCCUGUUGCCUCCAUCAUCCUCCAAAUCCCACCAACAUCAGCCACCUCAGAGCGCAACUGGUCCUUGUUCGGGAACACACACACCAAAGCACGCAACAGGCUGGCCAAUAAAAGUGUUGAAAAAUUGGUGGCCAUCCGGGCAAAUUUGAGGCUUUUUGAGCCUGACAACGAGCCAUCCUUAACAAGGUUGGAAAGUUACAGUGAAGAUGAGGCCUCAGAUUCUGAUGUUGAAGACGUGGACAUUGAGGAAGUCCAGGGAGAAGACAUGGAAGCCCGAGGGGAAGACACCCAAAGCUUUAGUUUCUUGACAAUCAUUUGUUGCAAACGUUUUUGA
This 1164-nucleotide long non-coding RNA is filed under the name Oncorhynchus kisutch (coho salmon). Its description in RNAcentral is "lncRNA (ENSOKIG00005029367.1)". The record is from RNAcentral. Lineage: Eukaryota; Metazoa; Chordata; Actinopteri; Salmoniformes; Salmonidae.